AUUGAACGCUGGCGGCAUGCCUUACACAUGCAAGUCGAACGGCAGCACGGGAGCAAUCCUGGUGGCGAGUGGCGAACGGGUGAGUAAUAUAUCGGAACGUGCCCAGUCGUGGGGGAUAACGUAGCGAAAGCUACGCUAAUACCGCAUACGAUCUAUGGAUGAAAGCGGGGGAUCGCAAGACCUCGCGCGAUUGGAGCGGCCGAUAUCAGAUUAGGUAGUUGGUGGGGUAAAAGCCUACCAAGCCUUCGAUCUGUAGCUGGUCUGAGAGGACGACCAGCCACACUGGAACUGAGACACGGUCCAGACUCCUACGGGAGGCAGCAGUGGGGAAUAUUGCGCAAUGGGCGAAAGCCUGACGCAGCCACGCCGCGUGAGUGAUGAAGGCCCGAGGGUCGUAAAGCUCUGUCGGGAGGAAGACAAAAUGACGGUACCUCCCAAGAAAGCACCGGCUAACUCCGUGCCAGCAGCCGCGGUAAUGU
This 479-nucleotide ribosomal RNA is filed under the name uncultured bacterium. Its description in RNAcentral is "bacterial SSU rRNA". It matches the Rfam family "Bacterial small subunit ribosomal RNA", at positions 29 to 526 of the family's 1533-position model. The record is from RNAcentral.